UAUAUAUAUAUAUAUAUAUAUAUAUAUAUACAAAAAAAGUUUCUUUUCAAGCGGUGUACAGAAUUAUAUAUUAAAAAUUAAAUACACAAAAAGAGUUUUAAAAGCAGCAUUGUCUAGCGCUUUCAUCCAUCUUGGGACUUUUCAAGACUAUGAACGUCGUUAUGAACGUCGUUAUGGGGAACACAUUAGUAUUAUGACGUAACGUCAUUGUUCGUAAAAUAUUAGUAGUAUGACGCAACGUUAUUGUUCAUGUAACUACUAAGCAUUAAGCUUGGCGUCAAACACUUUUAUAAAUUUUCUUUCUAGUUCUUUACGGUAUUCUUCUGUUGGUUCUGUACAUUUGAAGAACGGGAAAAAUUUGAAUUUUCCUCCCGCACAAAUAUCUAAAUGUUCGCUCAACGGAAUUUGUCUGUACUCGGGUUGCCGUAUUUGCUGUUUAUGGAUCCUGACCCGUUCACACACACUAUUUCCUGUUUGACCGAUGUAGUUUUCUUUACAGUUGACACAUGUUAUACAAUAGAUUACAUUUUCUGAUUUGCAAGUCAUAUUUGCGUUUACUGUAAAUUUCUUACCGUUUUUGAAAUAUUUCGUACUGCCUAUUUCUAAGUAAAUAUAAUUGUCUCUGGAACAUACUCCACAGCGUGAAUCGCCACAAAUUUGUACGGAUGAUAUCUUCUUAACUAUAUCAAAUCGCGCUUUUGUAA
RNAcentral lists this long non-coding RNA (704 nucleotides) under Mytilus galloprovincialis (Mediterranean mussel). The record is from RNAcentral. Lineage: Eukaryota; Metazoa; Mollusca; Bivalvia; Mytilida; Mytilidae.